AUACUAUAAUUCCACAUAAACGACUCUAACUAUGAUAAGCCUAUUAAAUAGGUAAAAAGGAAACCCUAACCCUAAAAGUCCAUGCACACGUUAUAGGCCUUUAGCCCAAACUAUUUGACAAGAAGAACUAAGAAUAAAUAACUGACUCACUUAAAAAGAAAAAGAGAAGAAAACAGAUGCCACGGUCUAUCAAUAGCCUCCCCCGGCACAACAGCCUUGUCCUCAAGGCUGAAGUAGGGACCGGUAAUUGGAUGCCUCAACAGGCGCAUGCUGGUGUAGUGCAUCGAACUCGGGCUCCCCCAAUUCAUCACACACAAGGACGUUCAACGUCUUAGGCGGGCAGCGGUGAAGGGGUCCGAAAGUCAGACCGCAACGGAAGCAUGUACCAGCGGCAAGAUGUUUUUGAAUCUCUGAUUGCGGCAAUUGGCGAAAGUUUUUGGCCUUGCUUAAAGGUAGUGAGGCGGCAGAAACCGUGGAGUCGGAAGAGUAGGUAGCUGUGGCUGUUGGUUG
RNAcentral lists this long non-coding RNA (510 nucleotides) under Salvia miltiorrhiza (redroot sage). RNAcentral describes it as "long non-coding RNA (SMIL_LNC014353)". Lineage: Eukaryota; Viridiplantae; Streptophyta; Magnoliopsida; Lamiales; Lamiaceae. The record is from RNAcentral.